UUUCUGCCGAGGACGUUCGGUCCGCCCUCUGGGUGAGUAUCUGGCACGGCCUGGGCAUCUUCUUGGAGAACGUAGCUGCACUUGACUGUGUGGUGCGGUAUCCAGGACUUUUACUUUGAGGAAAUCAGAGUGUUUCAAGCAGGCAUACGCCUUGAAUACAUUAGCAUGGAAUAAUAAGAUAGGACCUUGGUUCUAUUUUGUUGGUUUCUAGAGCUGAGGUAAUGAUUAAUAGGGAUAGUUGGGGGCAUUCGUAUUUAACU
RNAcentral lists this ribosomal RNA (260 nucleotides) under uncultured dinoflagellate. RNAcentral describes it as "partial 18S ribosomal RNA". The stretch from base 97 to 260 matches the Rfam family "Eukaryotic small subunit ribosomal RNA", at positions 738 to 903 of the family's 1831-position model. The record is from RNAcentral. Lineage: Eukaryota; Dinophyceae.